This 603-nucleotide ribosomal RNA is filed under the name Triticum aestivum (bread wheat). Its description in RNAcentral is "partial small subunit ribosomal RNA". Lineage: Eukaryota; Viridiplantae; Streptophyta; Magnoliopsida; Poales; Poaceae. The record is from RNAcentral.
AUGCUUGUUCACUCGGAUGUGUGGACAAGUCCGGUGGUGUCGGUUAGUGGUGCAAAGUAUUUUGUGACCUUUAUUGAUUGCCACUCACGUAUGACAUGGAUAUAUUUGAUGCGUCACAAGGAUGAAACUUUCCAAUGCUUCAAGACUUUCUAUGCCUAUGUGAAAAAUCACUUCAAUGUUCAGGUACAAGUGAUAAGAAGUGAUAAUGGCACUGAGUAUGUGAACAAAGUGUUUGGGACUUUCUUACCAGAGCACGAUAUUUUGCAUCAAACCUCAUGUCUGGAUACUCCCCCUCAGAAUGGGGUAGCAGAAAGGAAGAAUCGCCAUAUUCUGGAGGUUGCUCGAUCACCGACGUUUACUAUGAAUGUGCCGAAAUUCUUGUGGGGUGAAGCUGUGAUGGCUACGACACACCUGAUCAAUCGCACAUCAUCGAGAGUACUAGGUAUGAAGUCACCUUUUGAGUUACUUCUGGGAAAGAAUGAUUUUGUGGUUUCUCCCAAGCUGUUCGGUUGUGUCUGCUUUGUCAGGGAUCACAUGCCAUCUAUGGGGAAAUUGGAUCCAUGGGCCGUCAAGUGUAUCUUCACUGGGUACUCUUCUAGGUAG